Molecule: long non-coding RNA, 1122 nt
Filed under: Mus musculus (house mouse)
Lineage: Eukaryota; Metazoa; Chordata; Mammalia; Rodentia; Muridae
Description: long non-coding RNA chr14:48571660-48572782
Source: RNAcentral
GUUCCUCUUUUUUGAGACAGUCUCACUCUGCAAUCUGGGCUGGCCACAAACACAGUGAUCUUCCUGCUUCAGCUUCCAGUGCUGGGAUUUCAGGCAUGUAUGACCCUGCCUGGCUUUCCAAUAUGUCUUUUUGAAUAUAGUAUAUUGAGUAAGUUCCAUUGGUCAUGCACACUCUUCUGCACUGUGAGGUCACAAUGCACAUAGCUAAACAAUCUACAUCUUGUGGGAAGGUGACUGUAACUGAGAUAAUGCAAUAUUAAUGCCAUGUAUUCUCCUUUUACUCCAUAACAUUGAAAGGGCAUGGGUUAUAUAGAGGAAUAGAAAAUAAGUCGUGUGUGUGUGUGUGGUGCUGAGGAUCAAACCCAGGGUCUGGAGCAUAAUUCCUAUGUAGGAAGUGAGGCAUAACACAAGAAGAACUGAUUGUGUUUUCCAACACAGACCAUAUUUCACAUAUCCCACAAAGAAUUUCAGGUUGACUUGUAAUGUGAAGGAGAAUUUUAUUUUAUUUUUAUUUUUUGUACCCCACCCCCAAUUCCAGUCCUCUCUCCCAGUACUUUGUCCCUCUACCCACCUUGCCUGAUCCUCUUUAUUCCCAUCCUCACCUAUCCCCAGUUAGCCCAAGAAAGAGAUCAUUUGAAACGGGUCCACUAAGGUAGAAGCAGAGCUAAGCACAUCAGCUCUAUCAUUGAGCAACAUUCCCAGACCCUUGAAGACAGGGUUUAGUCAAUCACUGGCAGACCCUGAAUCGCUGUCCAUUCAUAGCACAAGUCUCCACUGAGAGCUUCUGGCGGCCAUCGAUGCUAGUGAGUGAACUGAGAGCUGUUUGUUUUCAUCACAGAGACAAGGACAAGGCGACGCUGUGAUAGCCCCGCCAUGCCGGCCUGUUGAGCGUAGUAGGUGGUGGAUGUCAGCACAUAGCAAAACACUGGUAACAGAAAGAGAUGCCAACCAAGGGGGGAAGUCAGCACAGUUUUCACUCUCAUAGGCUCGGCAGAGCACCCGCCAUGAGACGGCAGCCCUUCUCUAGGAAGUUAAGAGCCAUGUUGUAAAGAAGGAUCUACUAAUGGAAAUGAAUAUUAGCAACAAAAAUAGCACAUGCGUCAGGGCAUGUUGUUGGUGGAG